UACGGGGGGGCAAGCGUUGUUCGGAAUUCCUGGGCGUAAAGGGCUCGUAGGCGGCCAACUAAGUCAGACGUGAAAUCCCUCGGCUUAACCGGGGAACUGCGUCUGAUACUGGAUGGCUUGAAUCCGGGAGAGGGAUGCGGAAUUCCAGGUGUAGCGGUGAAAUGCGUAGAUAUCUGGAGGAACACCGGUGGCGAAGGCGGCAUCCUGGACCGGCAUUGACGCUGAGGAGCGAAAGCCAGGGGAGCAAACGGG
This 252-nucleotide ribosomal RNA is filed under the name uncultured bacterium. RNAcentral describes it as "partial 16S ribosomal RNA". It matches the Rfam family "Bacterial small subunit ribosomal RNA", at positions 524 to 776 of the family's 1533-position model. The record is from RNAcentral.